AUGACACAAAAUUUGUCGAUCAAGUCUUUGAGCGACUGCAGGUUGGAAACGCUGUUGAAAACGUGGACACAUUCUUUACCAAACUUACAGAGAAGGAGAAGGUUCCACAGUUUCAAGUUGACGUGAGAGAUCGCAUCAUGAACAAGACCUACGUCAUCAUCGGUCCCGUUUUGUCAGAGUUCCCUGAAAAGGAUCUUUUUGACUGGUUCCAUGUCAAACUGGUCCCGGUUCUCCCAAGUUUCACUCCACAAAUGCUCCAAGGUGUAAUUACCAACAUCAACUGCACAAAAUACCAUGUCAUUGUGAGUGGGAUGGGCAAAGUUGUGUCUGCCAUAGCUCAGA
Gambusia affinis (western mosquitofish) is the source of this 342-nucleotide long non-coding RNA. RefSeq lists it as uncharacterized. The record is from RefSeq and is a predicted model, not a curated record. Lineage: Eukaryota; Metazoa; Chordata; Actinopteri; Cyprinodontiformes; Poeciliidae. The transcript is spliced from 3 exons.